UCCGCCCAUAUCUGCAAUGAAGAAAAAGGAAAAAACAAGGCUACGUCCUUUCAAGCACAUUACUUCCAUUGUGAGCAUAGUAACAUUCCAUCUUCUCCAUAAAUAAUGACAAUGCUGGGCGAUGUGGCUCCAUCACCCAAUAUGUUUCUCCCUUUUCUUUUCUUUUUCUUUUUUUUUUUUUCUCAGGUUGAUCCCAAACUCUCUGUCCAAAACUUGUUGAAGGAUCUGUGGUCAUCUAGAAUAGCGUCUUCUCCUGGUCCAGUUUGCUUAGUGUGCUCAGUUGUUUCUAUUUUGCGAUUGGUUGGGAGGCGGUGGUAAAGGAUAACCAAACAUCAGUCACAGGAAAAUGAAGUCUCGCUCCUUUCCCCACUGUUCAACUUUGGGCUGAUGUAGCGGCAAACCAAACAUGCUCCCUCUCUAGGAAACCGUAAACCCUCCAAAUGAUGAUUCCCAGAGUUAAAUGAUUCUAUCUUUAGGGAAAGAAGAAGGUACAUACUUCAAAGAGCGGAAGAUUGAUUUUAUGAGACCA
RNAcentral lists this long non-coding RNA (529 nucleotides) under Elaeis guineensis (African oil palm). Its description in RNAcentral is "long non-coding RNA (EGUI_LNC073792)". Lineage: Eukaryota; Viridiplantae; Streptophyta; Magnoliopsida; Arecales; Arecaceae. The record is from RNAcentral.